UCAAGAUGACCACGCUGAACAAGUCGUCACCCCUGAGGACUCUGAAUGUUCUGAUUGUGGUGACCGCUGUUGAAGGACAGUCUGGAUAAGUUUAUUAAAAAGUAUCAUCAGUCGGCCCUCAGCUUCAAAAUCUGACAUCUCACAGACUCCACCUCAGGUUGCUGUUUGCCCUCCGUCUUAGAAGAUCCUACGCCACAGACCUUCAACCAGCUUCAUGUCACAGCUUGAUCGAAGACAAUAUGUAAGUUCUCACACACUCAUUUUUUCUUUUUUAGUCUGUGCAUUUUUUUUGUCCAACUCUUACCAAUAACUCUUUUUUCAGCAAAGUUCAAACAUCUUGAGACUGAGCGCCUGGAGCAGAAAACGAUCUGGAGUCAGGCCAGAGAAAGGAGGUGAUAGACAAAGAAAGAGAAGAGAAGCGAUGAGAGGAAGGCACAAAGGCAGCGCAGAAGAUGAACUCUGUGACUUAUGGUCUAUCCAUCUUCAGAGGAAAGAUUGGUGUCUGAAUAUACACAUUUCAGAUUUUCCCUCAUGCCUCAAACGUGCAACG
Long non-coding RNA from Austrofundulus limnaeus, 550 nucleotides. RefSeq lists it as uncharacterized. The transcript has 3 exons. The record is from RefSeq and is a predicted model, not a curated record. NCBI's taxonomy places the organism in Eukaryota, Metazoa, Chordata, Actinopteri, Cyprinodontiformes, Rivulidae.